UUCGGAGGGGGCUAGCGUUGUUCGGAAUUACUGGGCGUAAAGCGCACGUAGGCGGCUUUGCAAGUCAGAGGUGAAAGCCCGGGGCUCAACCCCGGAAUAGCCUUUGAGACUGCAUCGCUAGAAUUGUGGAGAGGUAAGUGGAAUUCCGAGUGUAGAGGUGAAAUUCGUAGAUAUUCGGAAGAACACCAGUGGCGAAGGCGACUUACUGGACACAUAUUGACGCUGAGGUGCGAAAGCGUGGGGAGCAAACAGG
Molecule: ribosomal RNA, 253 nt
Filed under: uncultured bacterium
Lineage: Bacteria
Description: partial 16S ribosomal RNA
Rfam family: Bacterial small subunit ribosomal RNA
Source: RNAcentral